This 427-nucleotide ribosomal RNA is filed under the name uncultured prokaryote. RNAcentral's name for it is "bacterial SSU rRNA". It matches the Rfam family "Bacterial small subunit ribosomal RNA", at positions 355 to 796 of the family's 1533-position model. The record is from RNAcentral.
UGGGGAAUUUUCCGCAAUGGGCGUAAGCCUGACGGAGCAAUACCGCGUGAGGGAGGAAGGCCUUUGGGUUGUAAACCUCUUUUCUCAGGGAAGAAGAAAGUGACGGUACCUGAGGAAUCAGCAUCGGCUAACUCCGUGCCAGCAGCCGCGGUAAUACGGAGGAUGCAAGCGUUAUCCGGAAUUAUUGGGCGUAAAGCGUUCGUAGGUGGUUUUGUAAGUCUGCUGUUAAAGCGUGUAGCUUAACUACAUAUAGGCAGUGGAAACUACAAAACUUGAGUGCGUUCGGGGUAGAGGGAAUUCCCGGUGUAGCGGUGAAAUGCGUAGAGAUCAGGAAGAACACCGGUGGCGAAGGCGCUCUACUAGGCCGCAACUGACACUGAGGGACGAAAGCUAGGGGAGCGAAUGGGAUUAGAUACCCCUGUAGUCC